Mirounga angustirostris (Northern elephant seal) is the source of this 561-nucleotide long non-coding RNA. RefSeq lists it as uncharacterized. The transcript has 3 exons. NCBI's taxonomy places the organism in Eukaryota, Metazoa, Chordata, Mammalia, Carnivora, Phocidae. The record is from RefSeq and is a predicted model, not a curated record.
ACUAUCUUUUGUGGGGGGACUCUGGAAAACUCAGGUCUCUAUAUCUACGCCUGUUCCCUUUCUUCUUAGUUCCCGGAGGUUAAAAAUGGACAAUUGGAAGCCCAAGGGGAAGUUCCGAAGAGGGGGGUGACCCUUCCUGGUGUGUUGGAAAUCCCAGGACUGUCUUUGUAUUUGUUCUCUGCUGCUGCUGCUGCAUAACAAACUACAACAAAACUGAAUGACUUAGAACAACAAUAAACACUCUCACCAUUUCUGACUCAGAGACUUAAAAUGGUUGUGGUCAUCUGAAGACUUGACUGAAGGCUAAAAGACGCACCUUCAAGGGCUAAAUGAACUCACCAUAUGGAAGAUGGCUUCUCCCAGAUCAGGAGAUCCAAGAAGGCAAAUGGAACAUGCACUGCAUUUUAUGACCUAGCCUCAAAGAUCACAUGCCAUCACUUCCAUGGUACUCUACUGAUCAGUCCUGUGUCAAUGUAAAAAAAUAUAAAAAGGUUUAAAUAUUAGGAGACAAGGGUCACUGGAGGCUGGCUAUCAUAUCUUUAUGUGUAAAGUAAUUUUUAA